RNAcentral lists this long non-coding RNA (459 nucleotides) under Homo sapiens (human). RNAcentral describes it as "HSALNT0225779". The record is from RNAcentral. Lineage: Eukaryota; Metazoa; Chordata; Mammalia; Primates; Hominidae.
GGAAGGGGAAAAGGUGGAGAAAAGUGGGAGGGCUGCUGCCCCCCAGCUCAGGCACCGCGUGAUAAGGCAGCAGCCUGGGAAUCGUGCGGCAGGAAUGGAUUGGAGAAAUAGCUUGCACACCACACUGACCCUCAUUGGAAGGAGGGUUCCAGAAGAAAGAAGGUGAUCUCAGCACCCAAAAUCCUGCUGCUUGGCAAAUUGAUAAGGCUGAAGAUGACUCCUACCAGAGCCUUUACUAAGCCAGGGUAUAAUAAAGAGAAAAAGAGAGAGCCUGAGAGGGUGGAGGUGGGAUCCAGGUCUUCUACCUCCUAGGAUUCUAUGUGGCUAUUUGUGGCAUCAGGAAACUCUGAGAGCACCACUUUUUAAUUCAUUUUUUUAAUUGACAAAAAAGUAUAUAUUGAUGGUGUACAACACGUUUUGAUAUAUGUAUUCAUUGUGGAAUAGCUAAAUAAAACUAUU